AACGAACGCUGGCGGCAGGCUUAACACAUGCAAGUCGAGCGCCCCGCAAGGGGAGCGGCAGACGGGUGAGUAACGCGUGGGAACGUACCUUUUGGUUCGGAACAACUCCGGGAAACUGGAGCUAAUACCGGAUAAGCCCUAACGGGGAAAGAUUUAUCGCCGAAAGAUCGGCCCGCGUCUGAUUAGCUAGUUGGUGAGGUAACGGCGCACCAAGGCGACGAUCAGUAGCUGGUCUGAGAGGAUGAUCAGCCACACUGGGACUGAGACACGGCCCAGACUCCUACGGGAGGCAGCAGUGGGGAAUAUUGGACAAUGGGCGCAAGCCUGAUCCAGCCAUGCCGCGUGAGUGAUGAAGGCCUUAGGGUUGUAAAGCUCUUUUGUCCGGGAAGAUAAUGACUGUACCGGAAGAAUAAGCCCCGGCUAACUUCGUG
This 431-nucleotide ribosomal RNA is filed under the name uncultured bacterium. Its description in RNAcentral is "partial 16S ribosomal RNA". It matches the Rfam family "Bacterial small subunit ribosomal RNA", at positions 29 to 507 of the family's 1533-position model. The record is from RNAcentral.